UACGUAGGGUGCAAGCGUUUAAUCGGAAUUACUGGGCGUAAAGCGUGCGCAGGCGGUUUUGUAAGUCUGACGUGAAAUCCCCGGGCUCAACCUGGGAAUUGCGUUGGAGACUGCAAGGCUAGAAUCUGGCAGAGGGGGGGUAGAAUUCCACGUGUGGGCAGUGAAAAUGCGUAGAGAUGUGGAGGAACACCGAUGGCGAAGGCAGCCCCCUGGGUCAAGAUUGACGCUCAUGCACGAAAGCGUGGGGAGCAAACAGG
This 257-nucleotide ribosomal RNA is filed under the name uncultured bacterium. RNAcentral's name for it is "partial 16S ribosomal RNA". It matches the Rfam family "Bacterial small subunit ribosomal RNA", at positions 524 to 776 of the family's 1533-position model. The record is from RNAcentral.